GAUGAACGCUGGCGGCGUGCCUAGUACAUGCAAGUCGAACGCUGGAGAUCUAGCUUGCUAGAUCGAAGGAGUGGCGAACGGGUGAGUAAUACAUAAGCAACCUACCCACGAAGACUGGGAUAAUCUCUGGAAACGGGGACUAAUACCGGAUAGGUAAUCGGAAGGCAUCUUCUGGUUAUUAAAGGUUAAAAACACUGGUGGAUGGGCUUAUGGCGCAUUAGUUAGUUGGUGAGGUAACGGCCCACCAAGACGAUGAUGCGUAGCCGGCCUGAGAGGGUGAACGGCCACAUUGGGACUGAGACACGGCCCAGACUCCUACGGGAGGCAGCAGUAGGGAAUUUUCGGCAAUGGGGGCAACCCUGACCGAGCAACGCCGCGUGAGUGAAGACGGCCUUCGGGUUGUAAAGCUCUGUUGUAAGGGAAGAACGGUAGAUAGAGAAUAUCUAAGUGACGGUACCUUACCAGAAAGCCACGGCUAACUACGUG
Molecule: ribosomal RNA, 486 nt
Filed under: uncultured bacterium
Lineage: Bacteria
Description: partial 16S ribosomal RNA
Rfam family: Bacterial small subunit ribosomal RNA
Source: RNAcentral